CCUACGGGUGGCAGCAGUGGGGGAUAUUGCACAAUGGGGGAAACCCUGAUGCAGCGACGCCGCGUGUGGGAAGACGGUCCUCUGGAUUGUAAACCACUGUCCCCAGGGACGAAGAUGACGGUACCUGGGGAGGAAGCUCCGGCUAACUACGUGCCAGCAGCCGCGGUAAUACGUAGGGAGCGGGCGUUGUCCGGAAUUACUGGGUGUAAAGGGAGGGUUGGCGGGGAGGCAGGCUGGGGGGAAAAACUACCGGCUAAACUGGUAGUCGCACUCAAAACUGCAGCUCUUGAGUGAAGUAGAGGCAGGCGGAAUUCCUGGUGUAGCGGUGAAAUGCGUAGAUAUUAGGAGGAACACCAGUGGCGAAGGCGGCCUGCUGGGCUUUUACUGACGCUGAGGCUCGAAAGUGUGGGGAGCAAACAGGAUUAGAUACCCCAGUAGUC
RNAcentral lists this ribosomal RNA (440 nucleotides) under uncultured bacterium. Its description in RNAcentral is "partial 16S ribosomal RNA". It matches the Rfam family "Bacterial small subunit ribosomal RNA", at positions 338 to 795 of the family's 1533-position model. The record is from RNAcentral.